GAGACUCCUUGACCUGUUCCUUGCUGCUCUUGAUGGAUUCCUUGUGGGACAGGCGUUAUCUGUAUCAGACCUUAGUGACAGAAAUCUUUCUAAAGCAAUUUCUGUUGAUCAUCGCAGUCAGGCUUCAUGUUUCUGGGCUUCAGCUCAUGUGGAUUUGCCUUUUAAUACCUAUUUGUUGGUCAUAUUGCAUAGCUGGUGUUAACCAGGCAGUUAAUUAGAUCAAUUUUCUUCUAAAGGAUGCAGUUUUCUGGAGUCUUCAAUGGGUGGCAGCCAUGCCUGUUCGUAGGCAGCUAAGUGAGACUGUUGUUGCUUUUGUCUUGUAGGAAUGAACUGGAGCGCCAGUUCCUUGAAUUGCUACAGUUUAACAUCAAUGUUCCUUCCAGUGUGUAUGCCAAGUAUUAUUUUGAUCUGCGUUCUCUGGCAGAAGCAAACAGCCUGAGCUUUCCUCUGGAGCCCCUGAGCAGGGAGCGUGCCCACAAGCUGGAGGCCAUCUCUCGUCUCUGUGAGGACAAGUACAAGGACCUCAGAAAACCCAUGAGGAAGCGUUCAGCAAGUGCUGACAACCUGAUUCUGCCGCGGUGGUCCCCAGCCAUCAUCUCCUAACUGGGGCACUCUCCUGAGGCCAUGCUGUCCCUCAGCUUCUCCUUUUGUUUAAGAAAAGAUGAACUUGGAUGGUUUGGUUUGGUUUUCUUUUUUCCUUCUGUUUUUAACACAGCCCCAUCAAGGCCGCCUUCAUGCCCACCUCCACGUUGCGUGGGUGUUCGCAAAGAGGCUUUAAGGGACGUAAAAUCAGUAUUCAGGAAACUCGGUGUCAAGCCUUCGCAGCAGUCACCAACAGCGCUUCUUUCAUGGAGGAAACAGACUCUAAUCCUGGAGAAGGAAAUGAAGGAAAAGGAAGUUGUGUUGAGGCAAAGAUUAGUUGGGAGCUUUGCUGUUUCUGGGUUUCUGUCUGGUCAUAGACACCAGAUGGAGGCAGAUGGUAGGUAGCAGAGUUGAAGGCACCUCCAGAUCCGGAUGCCAUGCUAUGCCCUUGGAAUCCGUGUGCUCUGUAAGACUCCUGCAUUCCUUCUUGCUGCUCUCUUGGGAUUGGGGGUGGGGAUGUUUGUUCAUUUUUAUUCUGGUUUGGUUUUGAUUCCUCAGAGCAGAGAGUAUAGUUUGUAACCAUCAUGGCACAGACAUCCAAAUAAAUAGUACUGAUUGUUUAUCUCUGCUCCAUUUUCUCUAGCCGUCUUCUGAGCUUUCUUCCUCACAAAUGAGAUGUGCUUGUUGUGUUUCUACGUACCUGUUUUAUACGACUCUCUUUCAAUAAUAGCAGGAUUAACUUGACUGUAGUGCUGAACCAAGACCUCUCCUGCCUAGUUCCAAGGACUGUCUAUCUAGAUUAACAUGGGUGCUUGUGCCUUCCAGUUUUCUCUCAAUUGGUUGUUCUCGGUUUGGGUUUUGUCCCCACCUCUCCCUCCCAGGUUCUCCUUUUCUGCUAACAUGAAGGUGUAAUUGCAAAACUCAGUCAGACUUUGUGGCUGAAGGCCAAGGUCCUCAGCGCAGGCCUCUUGGACAGAGAAGCAUCCGGGAGCCAGGUUUUCAUGACCUCCUGAGGAGCCGCGUCCAUGUGCUCCCUGCCUGGUCAUUGUUCUACUUCCAUGUCCAUUGUUGUAAGCAAUAUUCUCCUUGACUUUUAUAUGCUUCCUUUAAAUCAAAUUUAGUCUAUUUGUAUACAGUUUUUUUAAAAAAUCUAAAAUUUAGAAAAUGGGGAGUGGGUGGGUGGGUAUUCCAGUGGGAAGUUCACUAAAAGGAAAACUGUUACUAUUUCCUGCGAUAUUUUUCACAAAAUGAUUGAAUAAAAAAAAAUUCAACUUGCAUUCUCAUUGUGGGUGCUUGGAGAAGCUACACAAACUGUGAAGGUUCAUUCUUCUUAACUGUAACCAGCGUUUGUGUUUUCUGACUGUUUCUAACUUGGUUGGGGGAUAGGUUAAACUCUUCUGGUGAGUACAGUAGAAGAGUUACAGGUGCCUAUCAGAGAGGAUCUGACGUGAAGUCUGAGUCUCACACAAGUGCUUUGCUUCUACCCAUCUUCUUAGGUUGCAGUGACUGAGGUUGGUGAGGUGUUUAUUGUUUGAGACAAAUUCCAGCAUUUGCUUUGUUAUAUCCUCCUGUGUGAGCUUGGGGAAGUUUAGAACCGUAUGUUAGUGUUGAAUACCCUAAAAUCAUACGCCUGACCCCUCUCAAUGGAGCACAGUUUGAAAAUGGAAGGAACAAAUGUCAAAAUUCCAAGAGUAUAGAGCCACAAACGUUAGUCAGGAUUCGAUGCAGUGUGUCUUGUGCAGUUCUGUAUGCAGGAUAAGCAAGUUCUGGCCCAAACUUCCACAGCAGGAAGUAAAAAUUAACUUCCCUCCUGUUGCGUCUCUGAUGAUUUGCUCUGAGUGGGAAACAGGAUCAGCUUCUCUCUUUAGGAACCUUAAACAGAGGUCUAAAAAUGUAGAAAGUGUCAUUUUGUAUUCCCUCAUCUCUAUAACUCUAAAAGGGACCUAUUUUCUUAGCCAAAUAUGAAUACCUCUUAGAUUAAUUCCUUCCUCUCAUGUAAAGUACCUUAUUUUACCAGCCCAUUUCAGGAAAGAACUGCUGACUUGGUAGCAGAAAUCUUAUUUUUAUUCCUUUUAUUUGAAUGGGAGAUUUGGAAAUUGACUUAUGUAAAUAGUUAAAUGCACCUGAUACUAUUUUGUGGAGUUUAUUAAACUACUUUAAAAGAUUGUACAGUGUAUUUGUUGUAUGUGUGUACACACAGUCUGGUAUCUGACAUCAGCAAUGACUCUUUAGAGCCUGGCUUGGUUUUGUUCAGACUGUUAACUAUUGUUUUCAAGCCUGUGCACUGGACUCUACCUCUGAAUAGGAAAGUUUUCCCUUUGCAUCAAUGAGUGUUAAGCUGUAUUAAUUGGUUGUAUUUCUUGCACUAAGGAUUUCAGUUGUACUGUUUAGUCUGAAUUACUAGGCAUGUAAGUAUAGGCUCAUUUAAUUUUUCUAUACAAUAAUGAAGACUUAUUUUUGUUUUCUGGGUUGUUCUCAGUUUGCCAAAAGAAAAAGGAGAUGAAACAAAUCUAACAGCAGUGUUGAUAAAUCAUAGUGACUGUAACUUGUUUGUAAAGUAGUUCGGUGUCCAACAGGUAACUCUGGAUGCUGUUCGGGAAAUGCUAUCUCAGUGCGGCCUUUACUAAGAGCUCAUUGUCAUUGAUGAAGGAUGAAGAAAGCCACAGUUUCUUGACUAGAGACUUGAUUUAAUCAGCAAAUAUAAUUUGCUGGAGAAUAAACACACAUUCCUGUAAAUUCUGUUUUACUUUUUCACUGGAAAAAGAAAGGAGUUAAGAUUAAAUGAAGUUAAGUUAAAAUACAGUGAGAUCCUGAAGGAUAUAGAGGUGCUCUCAUGCCUUAAUGCUCAGGGGAGACCAGCUGUUGGAGAUAGCUCUUCUCUUCUGUGUCUCUCUCCAUGGUCUUUACCUGGGAUAGCUCCAACUUGGUUUUCCCCUUGCUUCAGGGGAUUUUGCUGCUUAGCUGAGCUUCAAGGCAGAACUUGGUGAGUUAUGAUUUUGCAUAUUACUGCUGCUUUAGGGACUGCAAUCUAGGGGCCAUGUUUUAAGCUUAAGCUUAAAUAUAUAUAUAUUCUUAGUUCACUAUAGGUAUUUAAUAAGUUAAAUAAAUAUAUAUGUACAUAGAACAAAUACUGUCUGCCUUCCUGCUAUAUUUUUUUAGUUAUGUUGAUAUAAAAUUGGACAGUUUUUUCAGAGUGGUAACACUGGAUCAUUAUUUUGAGGCUGGCCUAGGCCUAGUCUAUGUAGUAAUACUCUGCCUCAAAAAAGGUAAAAUUGAGCAGGUUUUAUGGGUGAUGAGUAAAUUAAUUCUAAGAGCAGUGAGAGAAAGUGUGUGUGUCUUUUUUCAGUGAUAAAGAAACUGAGACCCACCUGGGGCUUAAGCCAGAUGGGGAGUUAAGUUAGAAGCCAGUGGGAAUCAGAUAGAGCACACGCUUUCCUUAAAUACUGUUUCUGUCUUAUAAACCACUAUGUCCUGGCCUUCACUGGAGGGAAUAUCUCAAGACUAAGCCUUGGCCGUUCUUGGAGACAUGAAUGGUCUUCUAAAAAGCAAGCCACAGAUGGUGCGUAUCCUUGUCAACGGAAGGAAACAGGAAGCAUAGCCUGCAGCAGAACUGGGGAAAUUACUUAGCUUAGGGCUAGAACUCCUCAGCUCCAUGAACAGAAAAAAAAUUCUAGCCCAUAAUAGGACUAACAAUUAAGCCUUACUGAAUGCAGAGCACAGAGCAUCUCUAGAACGCCCUCCCAGAAGCAAACUGCCUGAGCUCCAUUAGAGAUGAGGAAGUUAAUGAGGCAUGUGCUCACACUGCUGAUGACUACCAAGCCAUACCCCGUGCUGCUUGUUAGAGCUUCUUACUGAGUUUGUACACGUCAAGGCCACAGAUCCUCUGGUGCCACUUUUACUAGAGACUUCGUCAGUAAGCAAUACAAAAAUUAACUACUUUUACUGAUGGUGUGUCAUUAGAAGCUGCUUUGUGUGUACUCUGCUGCAGGGUGAGCUAUGCCCAUGCCAGGAUUUGUUCCAAAAACCAUGUAGAGUUCUCCAAGAACCUGUUUAUACAAAGAAGUGCCCUCCAACUUGUCUGACUGGAUGGCAUUCGGGGUUUAUAGGUCCUAGUAAACCAUCUUGUAUCCUUUUGUGAUUUGUUUGGGCACAAGGGACUUUAUUCCUUUUGAGAACUUUUGUUUAUAAAUAGAUUCAAAUGUGCAAUCAAAAACUGUCAUCUCAAAAUAAAUACAGUUUUGACAAAAAUGUUAA
Molecule: long non-coding RNA, 4836 nt
Organism: Rattus rattus (black rat)
Lineage: Eukaryota; Metazoa; Chordata; Mammalia; Rodentia; Muridae
Exons: 2
Source: RefSeq, a predicted model, not a curated record